This 465-nucleotide ribosomal RNA is filed under the name Streptococcus mitis. RNAcentral describes it as "bacterial SSU rRNA". It matches the Rfam family "Bacterial small subunit ribosomal RNA", at positions 28 to 476 of the family's 1533-position model. The record is from RNAcentral. Lineage: Bacteria; Bacillati; Bacillota; Bacilli; Lactobacillales; Streptococcaceae.
GACGAACGCUGGCGGCGUGCCUAAUACAUGCAAGUAGAACGCUGAAGGAGGAGCUUGCUUCUCUGGAUGAGUUGCGAACGGGUGAGUAACGCGUAGGUAACCUGCCUGGUAGCGGGGGAUAACUAUUGGAAACGAUAGCUAAUACCGCAUAAGAGUAGAUGUUGCAUGACAUUUGCUUAAAAGGUGCAAUUGCAUCACUACCAGAUGGACCUGCGUUGUAUUAGCUAGUUGGUGGGGUAACGGCUCACCAAGGCGACGAUACAUAGCCGACCUGAGAGGGUGAUCGGCCACACUGGGACUGAGACACGGCCCAGACUCCUACGGGAGGCAGCAGUAGGGAAUCUUCGGCAAUGGACGGAAGUCUGACCGAGCAACGCCGCGUGAGUGAAGAAGGUUUUCGGAUCGUAAAGCUCUGUUGUAAGAGAAGAACGAGUGUGAGAGUGGAAAAGUUCACACUGUGACCGG